AACUUUUUGGCAGAAACAUUGCAUUAG
RNAcentral lists this transfer RNA (27 nucleotides) under Nephilengys borbonica. Its description in RNAcentral is "tRNA-Leu". Lineage: Eukaryota; Metazoa; Arthropoda; Arachnida; Araneae; Nephilidae. The record is from RNAcentral.